GACGAACGCUGGCGGCAGGCUUAACACAUGCAAGUCGAGCGCCCCGCAAGGGGAGCGGCGGACGGGUGAGUAACGCGUGGGAAUCUGCCCUUUGGUGUGGGACAACCACGGGAAACUGUGGCUAAUACCGCAUGAGCCCGAGAGGGGAAAGCCGCAAGGCGCCGAGGGAUGAGCCCGCGUCGGAUUAGCUAGUUGGUAGGGUAACGGCCUACCAAGGCGAUGAUCCGUAGCUGGUCUGAGAGGAUGAUCAGCCACACUGGGACUGAGACACGGCCCAGACUCCUACGGGAGGCAGCAGUGGGGAAUAUUGGACAAUGGGGGAAACCCUGAUCCAGCCAUGCCGCGUGAGUGAUGAAGGCCUUCGGUUGUAAG
Molecule: ribosomal RNA, 372 nt
Filed under: uncultured bacterium
Lineage: Bacteria
Description: bacterial SSU rRNA
Rfam family: Bacterial small subunit ribosomal RNA
Source: RNAcentral